RNAcentral lists this ribosomal RNA (468 nucleotides) under uncultured bacterium. Its description in RNAcentral is "partial 16S ribosomal RNA". It matches the Rfam family "Bacterial small subunit ribosomal RNA", at positions 28 to 507 of the family's 1533-position model. The record is from RNAcentral.
GACGAACGCUGGCGGCGUGCUUAACACAUGCAAGUCGAACGGAAAGGCCCUGCUUUUGUGGGUUGCUCGAGUGGCGAACGGGUGAGUAACACGUGAGUAACCUCCCCUUGACUUUGGGAUAACUUCAGGAAACUGGGGCUAAUACCGGAUAGGAGCUCCUGCUGCAUGGUGGGGGUUGGAAAGUUUCGGCGGUUGGGGAUGUACUCGCGGCUUAUCAGCUUGUUGGUGGGGUAGUGGCUUACCAAGGCUUUGACGGGUAGCCGGCCUGAGAGGGUGACCGGCCACAUUGGGACUGAGAUACGGCCCAGACUCCUACGGGAGGCAGCAGUGGGGAAUAUUGCACAAUGGGCGGAAGCCUGAUGCAGCAACGCCGCGUGCGGGAUGACGGCCUUCGGGUUGUAAACCGCUUUCGCCUGUGACGAAGCGUGAGUGACGGUAAUGGGUAAAGAAGCACCGGCUAACUACGUG